This 177-nucleotide ribosomal RNA is filed under the name Candidatus Omnitrophota bacterium. Its description in RNAcentral is "partial 23S ribosomal RNA". It matches the Rfam family "Bacterial large subunit ribosomal RNA", at positions 2754 to 2925 of the family's 2925-position model. Lineage: Bacteria; Pseudomonadati; Candidatus Omnitrophota. The record is from RNAcentral.
UUCUUUCUGGAUAAGCGCUGAAGGCAUCUAAGCGCGAAGCCUAUCCCAAAACUAGAAAUCCCUUUCCGAUUUAUCGGGAUGUAGGCAGGUUGAAGACUACGACCUUGAUAGGGUGCAGGUGUAAGCAUAGUAAUAUGUUCAGCCAAGCACUACUAAUAUGCCAAUCGGCUUGGUACU